CUAAAAUUAAUAAUAAAAAAUUUAUCAAUUUGUUUUGUAUCUUAGUUUAUUGAGGAUAAGCUCAGUAAAAAUAGUAAAAUAGUAUACACCUUACUUAACUAACCACAUGGGCUUGAAAUUAGCCAUUGUAUUAAAGUUUGUUACAAAAUAGUUUUUAUAUGCAGAAAGAUUAAUAUACUUUUUUUUACAGGGGUAACAUGAGAAACCAUGAUAUCCUGAUUCACUUAUGCUAGGAUGAGUAUUGAUGUAUAGGAUAUAUAAACAAAAAUAGAAAGGCAUAUAAAAUAACUUUACUUAGAACAAAAUAAGAAUAAGGAAUUCAGCAAACGCUUAGCUCCGCCUGUUUAUCAAAAACAUGGCUCUUUGUUAAUCAAAUAUAAAGAGUCAGACCUGCCCAGUGAAGAUUUAACGGCCGCGGGUACUCUGACCGUGCAAAGGUAGCAUAAUCAUUUGCCUUAUAAUUGAAGGCUUGUAUGAAUGGUUUGACGGGAGCAUUACUGUCUUUUUCUUACCUUAUAGAACUUGACCUCUGGGUGAAGAGGCUCAGAUACAGUUGAAAGACAAAAAGCCCCUGUCGAGCUUAAAAAGGAAUCAGAAUAAUUUUAUUAUCCAAAAUUAAUUACUGGCUAAUUUUUUUGGUUGGGGCGACCAAGGAACAAAAAAGCUUCCUCUAUUUUCUUAGCUAAUAAGCAUGGAUCCAGAAAAAGCUGAUUAAAAGAAAUAGUUACCGCAGGGAUAACAGCAUAAUCUCUCUUGAGAGACCCAAUCGAAAGAGGGGGUUGUGACCUCGAUGUUGGACUAGAAUAUCCUAAAGAUGCAGAAGUCU
Molecule: ribosomal RNA, 826 nt
Filed under: Tylomelania towutensis
Lineage: Eukaryota; Metazoa; Mollusca; Gastropoda; Pachychilidae
Description: partial 16S ribosomal RNA
Rfam family: Bacterial large subunit ribosomal RNA
Source: RNAcentral